UACGUAGGGUGCAAGCGUUGUCCGGAAUUAUUGGGCGUAAAGAGCUCGUAGGCGGUUUGUCGCGUCUGCUGUGAAAACUCGGGGCUUAACCCCGGGCCUGCAGUGGGUACGGGCAGACUAGAGUGCGGUAGGGGAGACUGGAAUUCCUGGUGUAGCGGUGAAAUGCGCAGAUAUCAGGAGGAACACCGGUGGCGAAGGCGGGUUGCUGGGCCAACACUGACGCUGAGGCGCGAAAGCCAGGGGAGCAAACGGG
This 253-nucleotide ribosomal RNA is filed under the name uncultured bacterium. RNAcentral describes it as "partial 16S ribosomal RNA". It matches the Rfam family "Bacterial small subunit ribosomal RNA", at positions 524 to 776 of the family's 1533-position model. The record is from RNAcentral.